CUGUGGGGGAUUGUCCCCAUUAGAUAGAUACCCUUUGUUUAUGAGUACCACUUGUUUCCUCGGCAGGCCUGCCUGCCGCUAGGACACUUCUAUAAACCUUUUGCAGUUGCAGUACCUUCAGUAAUAAAAACAAAACUAUCA
This 141-nucleotide unclassified non-coding RNA is filed under the name uncultured fungus. RNAcentral describes it as "sequence contains ITS1". Lineage: Eukaryota; Fungi. The record is from RNAcentral.